GUCCCUGUAGCGAAAUGGAUAGCGCGUUGGACGUCUAAUCCAAAGGUCGUGGGUAUCGAAACCCACCUGGGAUG
Molecule: non-coding RNA, 74 nt
Organism: Trichonephila inaurata madagascariensis
Lineage: Eukaryota; Metazoa; Arthropoda; Arachnida; Araneae; Nephilidae
Source: the annotation of a GenBank genome assembly